Molecule: long non-coding RNA, 3268 nt
Filed under: Gallus gallus (chicken)
Lineage: Eukaryota; Metazoa; Chordata; Aves; Galliformes; Phasianidae
Description: lncRNA (ENSGALG00010029035.1)
Source: RNAcentral
GUUCCUAACUGGGGUGCUGGGGCAAUGUCCUUCGGUCGGCACAUCAAUCUAGUGCAGUUGUGCUGGUAUCGGCCUCGUUCAUCCCGUGUGUGCUCAGUGCCAUCCUGGCAUGAACACGGAAUAUGCAGAUCUGGGGGAUACACGUUAAUAGUGGGUCCAUCUGCUAGGAUCUUUUAUUAAAGAGAAGUGUGAAUGCAGUUGCCAUGCAAUCCACUCUUACACACAAAGACCACGAGUUACGAAAACAAGAGCAAACAUCUCCCGAUUUUGCCUUGCUGGUAGCACACAUUCAUCAUUUCUGCAGCUGAUUUUGGCUUUAAUUUAGAAAUCUUCACAAAAACGAACUUGGAGUGAAAGAGCUCAACAGUUAGCAGUGACUGUGCAUAGACGCACGCACAGCCCUUCCUCUGCAGUGACAGACAGGAUAUUACUUUCCCACUGCAUAUGAAAUUAAUACCAGAAAGCAUAAGAAAAAAGCAUGUAAAUUCCAGCCCUUAAAGCCCGGUCUGGAGGAUGCUUCUGCUGCCUCAGACAGCCAUAACCUGGAGGAGAAGUAGCUGUUCAAAUUAAAAGCAAGAGAAUCCAUGGGCUGCUGAGUGAUGAGGCAAACGCUGAGCGUGGAGUCGCAGCCCAGUGCCGAUUCAUUCAACUCCAUCCAAAAGGAAAGCCUCCUACAGCCCGUUGCUCUCAGAACUGCUGUGUCCUCCGCCUGUCUCUCCCAUGGACGUGUGCAGUUCCAUGCUAAUAGAUCGGGGGGAGCGCGCUGUAAUUCGUUUAACAGUUGGCAGGUCAGACCUACGUGCCCUAGAGAGGCAAGUGCUGAUUCGGAUGUGGAGGGGAGAAGGUGCCCUGGUGACAUCAAGCCAAGGUGUCCAUGAUGAUGAGCACUCCUCACCCAGGAGCUGCCUUUUGCCCACCAGCCUGCAUUGAUGGAGAGCUUUUGCUGCCAUCGUGGCUCUGAUGUUCACGCUCAUCCCAGAAGGCUGCGCUGAGGAAUUGCUCCUUUAUUCAAGGGCACUGAGAUCAGAAGUACAAGGCAGCCCAUAUUCUCCUCCUUGUUUCACAGAUAUUGAGUGGGCAGGAGAGUAAGCAAGGAGACAGGUUUUUUUUUUUUUGCAUAUUUUCAGAAUGCAAAUAGAUGAGUGAGCUCAGCUCUCUAUUCAUUGCUUCCAACAUACAUGACACAGAUGAUGCUGUUCCCAUUGUCAGACUGAAACCGGGGGCUUGAUGACAAGAAACUCGCUGAGUUUCCAUCUGCACAAGGCUGGGAUGGUGGCUGGGUAGGGAAAGUCACCGCACUUACAUACGUCAGCUCCACCGACCACGUCCACAACAUACAGGCUGUGUUUGGGAUCUGCAAAGCCAGUUUUGCUCCCAGUUAUUCCUGCAAGAUCAGCUCUCAGAGCUCCUUGGUGUGGCCUCAUUUGCACCUACCCAGGGGACUGCCCCCUCUUCCUUCCAGCACAGGUAUGGCUCUGCUCCUUGGGUUGGAGCCAGCAAAACUACUGAAGCAGCAGCUGAUCGAAGCGGUGCGUGGCUCAAGAAAAAGUGUUAAGAUUGAUUAUAUAUGUAUUUAUUAAGUUCCAGCGAGGCAAACAGCAUAUUAGCAUAACUGGGUCAAUUAUUUGGCAAUCAGCACAUGCGUGCCUGGGAGGGAAGCAUGUGCAGAAAUCUGCUGUUUUUGUGCAGCUGAACACAUCACCUGCUUGGAAGAGAAGAAAUAUGUUUAUUCGGGUGCUAAAGAAGAGAGAAAAAAGAACAAGUCAACCUUCCCGAGCUAGCUGAUUAUGCAUUUUCCACAUCAAAUUGUCAGCAUUUAUUCAAUUACUUCACUCAUUACAAGUUUGUUCUUCAACCACUAACCUAAAAACCCUCCCUGCUGCUGUCAGCUCCAUUAGAAGUGACACAUCCCUUCCUCGGCUUAAAAAGAAUUGGAAGGCAUCUUCUCCCAGCUCCAGGCUAUGGGCUGGGAGCUGCUUCCCAUCCCCGUUUCCCAGUGCCAUGCAGAGGGGCGGUGCUGGGCCCGUCCCUGGGAAGCCUCUGCUGCUCCCAGCCCCACACGGGGCUGUUUGAAAGCACUCCGAUGCUCCGAGGAGAGGAUGAGGGGAUUUGCAGGGCUCUGCCAAGGAUACAGAUGGGAAAGAUAAGGAAGGCUCUACCUUCCCCAAAAUCAAAUAAAUCUUCAGUGCUUCCUGAGCUGAUUCACUUGGCUAAGCUCUGAUUUGAUAUAUGAAACAGAAGACAAGGCAAGAGGCGAGGCACAGAAAACAACAUCUUUUCCCCAUGUCAAGGUGAAGCGCUUCCCAUCACCCAGCCCGUCUCCCCCGGAGUAAAUGGGCAUCCAUAACAUUUAAAUGAUCAAAGUUUUUCAGCGGAGGCGGCGAUGGGCUUUUUCUGACUUGUCAUGCUUGUUUUCCUCCAGCAGGCAGUGACCUGCCGCCGCUCAGCCUUGCAGUUUGGCACGCAGGAGCUUUUGGAGGAGCGUUCUCUCCCCAGCAGAACAGCAGCCUCAUGUUUCCCUGCACAACAACCUUUCUUAGCCUGAAAUGCUUUGCAUCCCAUUUCCUUGAUCUGGCUAAGCGCUCGCAUGCUGAAAAUCCCACCCUCCCUCCAGCUGUCCUUCUGGCAGGAAAGAGACAGCGUCUCCUCUCUGGAGAGUACAGUCACUGCUCCUUUGGUUAUCUAAUCAGGGAGGGCAAAACUCACCCAGGGCCUGCAAAAUGCAGAGAUUGCAUCUGAGGUCUCGUGCGCAAGGCGGGGAGCGGCCUCCCCUCCUGGAGCAGAUGCUCUCUGCCAUCUUCCCAGCCAGUUGCUCUAAGGAGAAGAUUUAGAGCACUCCAGGGACGGAGGCACCGGGCUGUUCCUUCUGCUGAUGGCAGUGUCUGCAUGUGCUGAGGAGCGGGCCCUGGUGUGCGCACACCGACAUCGGUGCAGGAAGAACAAGAGAAUAACCCCCCCCACCUUCCUGCACUGCACAUCACAGCUCUCUGUUGCUCGGUUUCUUGGCCCCUGUGUGGGUUUUCUGGUGUUUCUCAGAACUACAAAAUACGAUGGCCCUCUUCUUUUUCCAGCAUGGCUAUCUUACCUUUGCACAAAGCACAAGGCAGUGGGAAGCACAAACCCUCCCAUUCCCAUCACUCUGGGAGAUCUCUUCACAUCCACCUCACCGAGAACAAAAGGACAGCACAAGGGAUGGGAUAGGGAGGGUGAGCUGAGACAGACCUCCCAGCGGGACCCGGUUCAACCCCAUGGCACAGCAGCCGUCCCC